Molecule: ribosomal RNA, 537 nt
Filed under: uncultured Nitrospira sp.
Lineage: Bacteria; Pseudomonadati; Nitrospirota; Nitrospiria; Nitrospirales; Nitrospiraceae
Description: bacterial SSU rRNA
Rfam family: Bacterial small subunit ribosomal RNA
Source: RNAcentral
AAGGAAUAUUGCGCAAUGGGCGAAAGCCUGACGCAGCAACGCCGCGUGGGGGAUGAAGGUCUUCGGAUUGUAAACCCCUUUCGGGAGGGAAGAUGGAGUGGGGUAACCCAUUCGGACGGUACCUCCAGAAGCAGCCACGGCUAACUUCGUGCCAGCAGCCGCGGUAAUACGAAGGUGGCAAGCGUUGUUCGGAUUUACUGGGCGUACAGGGAGCGUAGGCGGUUCGGUAAGCCCUUUGUGAAAUCUCCAGGCUUAACCUGGAAAAGUCGGAGGGGACUGCCGGGCUAGAGGACGGGAGAGGAGCGCGGAAUUCCCGGUGUAGCGGUGAAAUGCGUAGAGAUCGGGAGGAAGGCCGGUGGCGAAGGCGGCGCUCUGGAACGUUUCUGACGCUGAGGCUCGAAAGCGUGGGGAGCAAACAGGAUUAGAUACCCUGGUAGUCCACGCCUUAAACUAUGAAUACUAAGUGUCGGCGGGUUACCGCCGGUGCCGCAGCUAACGCAUUAAGUAUUCCGCCUGGGAAGUACGGCCGCAAGGUUG